Long non-coding RNA from Dreissena polymorpha, 2153 nucleotides. RefSeq lists it as uncharacterized. The record is from RefSeq and is a predicted model, not a curated record. The transcript has 5 exons. Lineage: Eukaryota; Metazoa; Mollusca; Bivalvia; Myida; Dreissenidae.
UUAAGUUUUAGAUUCCAUUCAACCGGGCGUGUGUUUCAAAUUUUCACGCUCUCUUUUGCUCAAUAGGCGUUUGUUAUCAGACGAAAGAUGGACUUGCUCGGUAUAAUAGGAAAAUGUUCUUCAAUAUGGACAAAUCGUGAUAGAAUUACGAUAGAAAUACCAAUUAAGUUAUGAAUAGAAUAAGUACGAUAUGUAUGGCGUGAUAUUGAAAUUAAACUUCGAUGAAAUACUUAAAGGCAGUCAAAAUCAUGGCUGUCUUACAUCUACAAUUUUCUCAAGAUAUAAUGCAACGACAUUCAAGAACACGAAAGUAAAGACUACUUAUUUGCGAGUAACUUCAUUGUCUGAGGUUACAAAAGUGUCAAAAGCAAGUAACUCCAGAGUGGAGAAAAGCACAAACAGGUUGAAUGUUGAAGUACAAAGAGUGUCCUCUUUUACGACAGUAAAACGUCCAGUUAUUAAGAAGAGAAAUGAAGAUAAAGGUUUCAAACUAUUUUCCGGACCAAGUAAACCAAAACAUAAUGGAUUGACUUUAGACGUUUUGCAAUAAUUGACGCCAUUUAAAAAUGGCGUCGAUUUAGUAACGCAAGAGUCACGUGAUCUGUUGCUGAACUGCAUAAAACUACACCCAAGUGUUCACGAAGUAUUUUUUCCGGAAGUGACGAAAGAUCCCCGAAUAACCGACGAAGAUUUACGGGGAUUUCCGAUUCACAGCCUGGCGGUUGCAGUCAUUUGCGAGGCCAUUUCAAAAGGAGAUGAUCCGUACAAGUUUUACUGUAUGAUCGAAAAGAAUUACUUGGAAAGUGUGCUGACUGAACUGUAUACUAGCGUACAUUGGAAGAAAUUGGUGUUCUCCAUGUACUGCGCUCUGUACCCGUCCGUAGUGAGAGACGCACGGACGAACAUCAGUUUGCAAGACUUCAUUGACGAUGAUGGGCCGGAGUGGGCGGAGCGUAUUAUUGAGCGCAUGACGGAGCCCUCUUGGACGAUGGGAUGGGUGCAAAAAUAGUCCGCGGUCAUGUGACAGAGGAGGAAUACAACACGGCGAUGAACACACUGUUCGUGAAAUUGCACAUGUUGGACCCGCAGUCUGUCAUUCCGACCUUUCAUCUGCUGAAUCACAUCCGAGCUCUCCCGGAAUGCAACCUAGAGCUGGCCACCCGGGACUACCUCGGAGGAAUGCAACCUAGAGCUGGCCACCCGGGACUACCUCGGAGAAAUGCAACCUAGAGCUGGCCACCCGGGACUACCUCGGAGGCCCACUGGACGCUGCGGCACUCAGCGCGCAUGCGCGGACGGCCGUAACAACGGAGACCAUGCCUAGCAACGGCGCCUCGCGCAUGAGCCUCGACAAAAUCGAAGUUUUUUACAGCAUUGACGUCGAGGAGUUUAUAAUGACGGAAGCACGUAACGUCGGCGUAUGGAACGGGCGACGUCCCGACAAUAAAAGAACUAGUGACCUCCUGGAUUGAUGCAGCGUCAUGUAAUCUCGUGAUCACAUUCGGCGGUUUCCGGCUCUCGUCGAAAAAAUGCGCUUGCAUCCAGAUGUCGCAUCCGGAAAAAGCUCGCAUACCCUAUGGACUAAGCAUCAAUUGUUCGUCUGUGACAACGAAAUGAACAAACGCAUGCGUUAGUUGUGCCGAUGUUACAAAUACGUUUCGUUGAUUCGAAUGUUCUAUCUAUUGACGUCGAGGUCUGGAGGAAUUUAUACAAUUACACAUGUGUUUAGAUUUUGUGGGAGAAAAUAGCCAGUGUGCUUCCGUAUUGAAUGUAAUAUUGUUCAUUCGACUUAUUUUGUACCAAAAUCAUCAUGUGUGUCUUCUGUGAAUGUUUUAAUUGUUAAGCGUACAUUUUUGGUGUGAACAAAUGCGAAUAAUGCGGUAUCGAUGUAUAAGUUAUGCUAUUCACACAUUUUUGAAUGUAUGACAAGUAUUGAUAAAACAGUUCGUGUGUUAUACGUAACGAUUUAAUAUCAUACAUCAAUGACAAGCGAUAUUUACACGUGUUCGCUUCAACGCUUGUUAAUUAUGGUAGAUCUAAUAAGUCACAGGCUUAUCAGGGACGACAUGUUCCGCCCAAACUGGAUUCUCGCUAAGAAGAGACUUUCUUUAAACGAAAAAUACCAUAAAAGCGGAGACUGUCGUCCCUGAUUU